This 317-nucleotide unclassified non-coding RNA is filed under the name Hevea brasiliensis (rubber tree). The record is from RNAcentral. Lineage: Eukaryota; Viridiplantae; Streptophyta; Magnoliopsida; Malpighiales; Euphorbiaceae.
GGCUUGUGAAUCAGAGAGGUCAGGUUUGUCCUCUAGAGAGAGUGCCGGCGCCAAGGAGGAAUAUUCCUUAAAGGAUUGUUUGGCUCUGAGGAGAUUCUUGUUCGGUUGGGGUUUUCUGGAGACAUUGUUAGGGUUCUUUUGCUGUUGCUGCUUUGCUGCAAUAACUGGGAGGUGGCGAAAGGAGGUUAUGCGGCGGAGGAGGUUGUGGAGGGUUGGCGUUCGGUGGAGGAAGAGGGACAUUGAAGCGAUAGACAUCAAUAGUGAGAAAUAAGGCAACUGAAAUGACCCUUCCUACUGCUUAAAAUGAUAAUUUCCAU